UUCGCAAUGCCCGAAAGGGUGACGAAGCGACGCCGCGUGCGGGAAGAAGGCCUUCGGGUUGUAAACCGCUGUCGGGAGUUAAGAAAUGUAAGGAUGUUAAUAGCAUCUUUGCUUGACUAAGGCUCCGGAGGAAGCCACGGCUAACUCUGUGCCAACAGCCGCGGUAAUACAGAGGCGGCAAGCGUUGUUCGGAAUUAUUGGGCGUAAAGAGCACGUAGGCGGCUAUGUAAGUCGGUUGUGAAAGCCUUCCGCUCAACGGGAGAACAGCAUCCGAUACUGCAUGGCUUGAGUGCGGGAGGGGAGAGUGGAACUUCUGGUGGAGCGGUGAAAUGCGUAGAUAUCAGAAGGAACGCCGGCGGCGAAAGCGGCUCUCUGGCCCAUAACUGACGCUGAGUGUGCGAAAGCUAGGGGAGCAAACGGGAUUAGAUACCCCGGUAGUCCUAGCCGUAAACGAUGGGCACUAAGUAGAGGGGUUUU
Molecule: ribosomal RNA, 477 nt
Filed under: uncultured Planctomycetales bacterium
Lineage: Bacteria; Pseudomonadati; Planctomycetota; Planctomycetia; Planctomycetales
Description: bacterial SSU rRNA
Rfam family: Bacterial small subunit ribosomal RNA
Source: RNAcentral